RNAcentral lists this transfer RNA (85 nucleotides) under Dichanthelium oligosanthes. It matches the Rfam family "tRNA". From Rfam's summary of the family: Transfer RNA (tRNA) molecules are approximately 80 nucleotides in length. Their secondary structure includes four short double-helical elements and three loops (D, anti-codon, and T loops). Further hydrogen bonds mediate the characteristic L-shaped molecular structure. tRNAs have two regions of fundamental functional importance: the anti-codon, which is responsible for specific mRNA codon recognition, and the 3' end, to which the tRNAs corresponding amino acid is attached (by aminoacyl-tRNA synthetases). tRNAs cope with the degeneracy of the genetic code in two manners: having more than one tRNA (with a specific anti-codon) for a particular amino acid; and 'wobble' base-pairing, i.e. permitting non-standard base-pairing at the 3rd anti-codon position. The record is from Rfam by way of RNAcentral. Lineage: Eukaryota; Viridiplantae; Streptophyta; Magnoliopsida; Poales; Poaceae.
GCGGGGAUAGCUCAGUUCUUCAGUUGGGAGAGCGUCAGACUGAAGAUCUGAAGGUUGUUUGCGUGUUCGAUUCACGGUCACCGCA